This 965-nucleotide long non-coding RNA is filed under the name Trifolium pratense (red clover). RNAcentral's name for it is "long non-coding RNA (TPRA_LNC012748)". Lineage: Eukaryota; Viridiplantae; Streptophyta; Magnoliopsida; Fabales; Fabaceae. The record is from RNAcentral.
AACUAUUAAAGCUACUCUAUUAAAGUGAGUUUUUCCUAAAGGAACCCACUUGGAUGAGAUUAACUCAGAAACUUUAAGAAAUGAGCUACUCCACAGAAUUCCCAAUAGCUCAAGAUGAUGAUCAUGAUGCUAACCUCAAACCCAAAAUUCUGCACCUGACCCUGAACUUCAAACGCGUCUGCAGGAUUCAUUACAGCUCCAUAAUUCAUACUAUUGGCGUCGGAACGACCGGAAUUUCGUUAGCUAACCAUAGAGACAAACCACACUAAAUUCGGAGUUAUAGAGAAAGAGCAGUUACCAUUUUAGUGAGCCCCUGUCCAGAAUACGGGUUUCACAUACUUCUUCCAAUUCCCAAUUUCUAUUGUACCACAAAAUCACUUAUGAGUUUGAAAACCCAUAUAGGGAAAUCAAUGGCAGAACUGGAUCUUUGUAGAAAUCAUAAAACAAAACCAUAAAAAUCAAUAAUAUUAACCAAAGAUCAGAAAUAGAAGGUUUAAAAACAGAAAUUGAGAAAAUCUAAAUAGAAAUCAUAAAACAUAACCACCAAAAUCAAUAAUAUUAACCAAAGAUCAUAAAUAGAAGGUUUGAUUUCGUUGUACUACUAAACGUGGAAAUUCUUUUUCCUUUACCACAAACAUUGCAAUUUGAGUAGCAGAGCCCAAUGCAACAACUAAGGAAAUGUCCUGCAGCCAUGAAAGUACAUCAGUCUCAUUCUCAUAACCAAUUUAAUCAAACAAAAUCAGAACUAAAUGNNNNNCUCAAAAUGUAGUUUUUGCGAGGAUUAUGCCGGGCAAUGACACACAGUAAUUUGUCAAACUCAUGGUAAAUUCAGAUAUAAUGAAUUCAUCACUCCAACCUAAAUAUCAGAAAGAAAAACACACUCCAAUAACAAUAACCUUUUUUACUGCCAAUCUUUGUGAAUCUCUUCGAGUAACCUCUGCUAAUCUCUGCUUUCUACACAAAAU